This 924-nucleotide ribosomal RNA is filed under the name uncultured Bacteroidota bacterium. RNAcentral describes it as "bacterial SSU rRNA". It matches the Rfam family "Bacterial small subunit ribosomal RNA", at positions 1 to 916 of the family's 1533-position model. Lineage: Bacteria; Pseudomonadati; Bacteroidota. The record is from RNAcentral.
GGAUCCAGACUUUGAUCCUGGCUCAGGAUGAACGCUAGCUACAGGCUUAACACAUGCAAGUCGAGGGGAAACGACAUCGAAAGCUUGCUUUUGAUGGGCGUCGACCGGCGCACGGGUGAGUAACGCGUAUCCAACCUGCCCACCACUUGGGGAUAACCUUGCGAAAGUAAGACUAAUACCCAAUGAUAUCUCUAGAAGACAUCUGAAAGAGAUUAAAGAUUUAUCGGUGAUGGAUGGGGAUGCGUCUGAUUAGCUUGUUGGCGGGGUAACGGCCCACCAAGGCUACGAUCAGUAGGGGUUCUGAGAGGAAGGUCCCCCACAUUGGAACUGAGACACGGUCCAAACUCCUACGGGAGGCAGCAGUGAGGAAUAUUGGUCAAUGGACGAGAGUCUGAACCAGCCAAGUAGCGUGCAGGAUGACGGCCCUAUGGGUUGUAAACUGCUUUUAUAAGGGAAUAAAGUGAGUCUCGUGAGACUUUUUGCAUGUACCUUAUGAAUAAGGACCGGCUAAUUCCGUGCCAGCAGCCGCGGUAAUACGGAAGGUCCGGGCGUUAUCCGGAUUUAUUGGGUUUAAAGGGAGCGUAGGCCGGAGAUUAAGCGUGUUGUGAAAUGUAGAUGCUCAACAUCUGCACUGCAGCGCGAACUGGUUUCCUUGAGUACGCACAAAGUGGGCGGAAUUCGUGGUGUAGCGGUGAAAUGCUUAGAUAUCACGAAGAACUCCGAUUGCGAAGGCAGCUCACUGGAGCGCAACUGACGCUGAAGCUCGAAAGUGCGGGUAUCGAACAGGAUUAGAUACCCUGGUAGUCCGCACGGUAAACGAUGGAUGCCCGCUGUUGGUCUGAAUAGGUCAGCGGCCAAGCGAAAGCAUUAAGCAUCCCACCUGGGGAGUACGCCGGCAACGGUGCAACUCAAAGGAAUUGACGG